This 1103-nucleotide long non-coding RNA is filed under the name Equus caballus (horse). RNAcentral describes it as "lncRNA (ENSECAG00000052344.1)". Lineage: Eukaryota; Metazoa; Chordata; Mammalia; Perissodactyla; Equidae. The record is from RNAcentral.
UCUUAAAGGACCCAUGUGCAAAUUCACCCGUUUUGGAAAACAACCUGAAAUCACCAUAAAGAAAGAUGCACUGUCCUUUCUAGAAAAGAGACUCACCUGAUAGGCUCUGGGCACAUCUCAGUGAGAGGGGAGACCUCUCCAUGGACUGAGACAUUGACAACAACCAUUAUUGUGACCUCAUACAGGUGUGCUGACACAGACGCUGGUAGAUGCCAUUGGAGUCCUUCCCCUGGCAUGUUAGCCCAGGAUCUGCCCCGCCCACGACAGUGCUGAUUAAAACCAGCUCAGCCAGGGUGGGCAGCCCACCCUAGGGACUGGCUCCACCAACUGAAGGCCUCGGUCAACUUGUGUGCCUGCAUGGACAGAGUGCCAGGAUCCUCUGCAGGCAGUUUACAGAUAAGGAAACAGGUACAGACAAAUGAAGUUUGUUGAAAGCCACCUAUGAGGGUCGGAAUCAGAAUUUGAAGCCAGGAAAUGUGGCUCCAGAAUCCAUGCACCUGAUCACUGCCUGAUACCACCUUUGAUAAGGAGCCCUUCCUGUUCCUUUACUGACUUACUUCUACUCACACUUCAGAGUUCAGUUGUGUCUUAUCUUCAAUAAGUGAAGAUAAGCUACAACUAAUUGGACAUUCAACAGUCAAAAAAGGAUAUCCACUUAGCACCACAGGACACCUGAAUGACCUGUGCUGCUAUACAUCAGAAGGUGGACAGACUUCCCCCCAGGAGGAGGUGGAGAUAGGUGAAAAGUCUCUGACCCCCGGACAGCCUACUACCUGCAAGUGACUCUCUACUGGCUGACUCGCUCAUAGCAUCACCACAGCACUGAGGGCAGGCGUGUGCAUGCACUGGUGGCAUGACUGUGGAAACAGCUGAUGGGAGACCCCACAGGGCCACUGCAAUCAUGAGGAGGGGCCCAGGCUCGGUCAGGAAGAGCUGACAGCAAUCCCAGUCAGUGCAGAUUACACAUCUGCUGCCCCCUCCCCCACCAGUAAAAGCAAGUGGAAGUAGUAACCAAACUCUGUCUCUAUGCGGAAGUACAAAUCCAUGCCAGCAAGUAGUAUGAAAAAAUAUAUUAAAUCUCCAGAACAGAAGGAAAAUGACAA